GGAUAAAAAGAGGUUCAAAAAGGAAGAAAGAAAAAAAAAAGAUAAGAAAAGAAUUUAAAAAAAGAAAACAAAUAAGAAAAAUAUAAAAAAGAAAAAAUAUAUAUAUUGGAUAAACUAGUUAAAAAACGUUAAAAAAGAGAAAGGUAAAAGUUAAAAAAAAAUUACCAAAAGGCGAGAAAAAAACAAAAAAUGAAAAAGAAAAAAAUUAAAUUAACUGCAAGACUAAAAAAAUCACAGGGAAAAAGCCAUGAGUUCCGUGCUUUGCUUUCUCCUCCUCUGGAAUUCUGCUGCUCUCCUUGGUAUUGAAACCGCACUCCUUGGUAGGUGAACUUGGUCUCGUCUGGAUUUCUUGUUGAUCUUCUGGGGGAGGGGCCUGUUGUAGUGAUUCUCAAGUGUCUGCCCCAGGCGGAAUUGCACCGCCCUUACCCGGGGCCGGGCUGAGUAAUCCGCUCAGGUUUGCUUUCAGGAGCUUUUGUUCCCUGAGCGCUUUCCGUAGAGUUCCGGAGGACGGGAAUACAAAUGGCUGCGUCCUGGUCUCCGGCCAAGAGGAGCCGAGAGCCCAGGGCCCCACUCCUCAGUGCGCCCUCAGAGAACAGCGCCCAGUUACUCCCGUCUGCCUGACCUCCGGCCGCGCUCCGAGCUCACCGAGCCUGCGACCGGUUCAAGCUACCCGCCUCUGGCAACCACCUAUCCAUUAAGUAUUUGAAGGAAUAACGAGGAUGACUUAGAGCCUCAGAAGAGGAAGUAUAUCCAGAGGUCAUCUGCUUGCCUCUCCUGGGAUAUCUGGACCCCGUCUUCAAUACUCUCCCCAUUCUGCCUCCCCCAGUACUCAGGUGGGCACCUACCCUUCUGGGAACUUGCAGGGGUGGAGCUUGUUUGCAAUACUUCUGUUCCAGGCACAGAAUUGGGAAGAGAUGAGCCGUGCCGUUAGAAGCUCUCAACACCCUGUUUGUAGCAUCAGUUCUCAGAAUCUGGAUCUCACAGAUGAGAAAUGACAUGGUAAUGGGAAUCAUGGAUCAGCUCAUGUAAUGGGUUCCUUUAGUCAAAACUAAAAUCCAUUCCAUGGAGACAUGUAAAAACAAUCCACAUCCUAAGGAAAGGGUUUCUUCUGAAUCCUCAGCAAAACUGGGAUUAGAAAGGGACCCCUGAGUUUAGGGUCCACCCCUUAGAGGUUUCAUUCCAGACAAGAACUGUGGACUGAGCUCCCCAUGGCCCUUGUUAACUGAACUAACUCCAGGAUGAGCACCACAGAUACAAGCUAAGUGACUGCUAACCCCCAUCUGCUGACCUUGACCAUCCUCAAAAGAAACAAAUGGACUAAGUGGCUAAAUUCCUUACAUCUUUUGCAGAUCUUCCCUCUGUAGAAAAAUAGAAGCAAGAAGCUUUAAGGCAAGAUAUGCUCCUUAAAAAACAAACAACAAAAAACCCACUUUGCUAGUUUGCAUAUACACUGAUGUAUCUAUCAUUUAAUUAAAGCAAUUUGACAUUCUCA
Long non-coding RNA from Mustela lutreola (European mink), 1492 nucleotides. RefSeq lists it as uncharacterized. The transcript is spliced from 2 exons. NCBI's taxonomy places the organism in Eukaryota, Metazoa, Chordata, Mammalia, Carnivora, Mustelidae. The record is from RefSeq and is a predicted model, not a curated record.